Molecule: ribosomal RNA, 856 nt
Filed under: uncultured Neocallimastigales
Lineage: Eukaryota; Fungi; Neocallimastigomycota; Neocallimastigomycetes; Neocallimastigales
Description: partial large subunit ribosomal RNA
Rfam family: Eukaryotic large subunit ribosomal RNA
Source: RNAcentral
CGCAUCUGUGCAUGCAGCAUAUCAAUAAGCGGAGGAAAAGAGACUAACAAGGAUUCCCCUAGUAACGGCGAGUGAAGCGGGAAGAGCUCAAAUUUGAAAUCUUAAAGGGUUUCCCUUUACGAAUUGUAGUUUAAAGAAGUGUUUUCUGUUGAGGUUUUGGUAAAAGUUCUUUGGAAUAGGACAUCAUAGAGGGUGAGAAUCCCGUAUUUGACCUUUACUUUCAACUUUGUGAUACACUUUCAAAGAGUCGGAUUGUUUGGGAAUGCAGUCCAAAAUGGGUGGUAAAUUUCAUCUAAAGCUAAAUAUUGGCGAGAGACCGAUAGCGAACAAGUACCGUGAGGGAAAGAUGAAAAGAACUUUGAAAAGAGAGUUAAACAGUACGUGAAAUUGUCAAAAGGGAAGCGUUUGACACCAGUGUUGUUUUUCUGAAAAUCAAUUAAAGAACUGUUUAUGCUAAGUUGUUUAGACUUUAUCAGCUAACUGUUUAGUUUUGAGCUUUUCUUUAAUGCACUUUUCAGUUAACAAGUCAACAUCAAUUUCUUUUGCUGUAAAAAAGCUUGAGGAAGGUGGCUUGAGAUUCGUCUUAAGUGUUUAUAGCCUCUUGCCUAUGCAGUCGGAGAGAUUGAGGUCUGCAGCGUAGAUCCUUCGGGGCUAAAUGCAUUUGUGCUAAGUUAUAGCAUUUUAUAGACAACUUGUUGACUAUGAUUUGUCUUGUAGCUUACUCGCUUAUGUUAUUUUACCUACGCUUAGGAUGUUGAAGAUGUAGCACAUCAUACACGCAUGACGCACUGCAUAUCAAUAAGCGGAGGAAAAGGAGUGUACCUACGCUUAGGAUGUUGAGCGCAUGUCUCUCUCU